CCUACGGGAGGCAGCAGUGGGGGAUAUUGCACAAUGGGCGCAAGCCUGAUGCAGCCAUGCCGCGUGUGUGAAGAAGGCCUUCGGGUUGUAAAGCACUUUCAGCGGGGAGGAAGGCGUUAAGGUUAAUAACCUUGUCGAUUGACGUUACCCGCAGAAGAAGCACCGGCUAACUCCGUGCCAGCAGCCGCGGUAAUACGGAGGGUGCAAGCGUUAAUCGGAAUUACUGGGCGUAAAGCGCACGCAGGCGGUCUGUCAAGUCGGAUGUGAAAUCCCCGGGCUCAACCUGGGAACUGCAUUCGAAACUGGCAGGCUAGAGUCUUGUAGAGGGGGGUAGAAUUCCAGGUGUAGCGGUGAAAUGCGUAGAGAUCUGGAGGUAUACCGGUGGCGAAGGCGGCCCCCUGGACAAAGACUGACGCUCAGGUGCGAAAGCGUGGGGAGCAAACAGGAUUAGAUACCCCUGUAGUC
This 465-nucleotide ribosomal RNA is filed under the name uncultured Klebsiella sp. RNAcentral's name for it is "bacterial SSU rRNA". It matches the Rfam family "Bacterial small subunit ribosomal RNA", at positions 338 to 795 of the family's 1533-position model. The record is from RNAcentral. Lineage: Bacteria; Pseudomonadati; Pseudomonadota; Gammaproteobacteria; Enterobacterales; Enterobacteriaceae.